AAGGCAAUUGCUGGUUUGUAUGUUGAUAUAUGUUUAACUUCAAAAGAAAUUUCCAAUCUCUUUUCCAGAGUGGGUGUACCAUUUUAUAUUCCUAUCAUGAAU
RNAcentral lists this microRNA precursor (102 nucleotides) under Marmota monax (woodchuck). Lineage: Eukaryota; Metazoa; Chordata; Mammalia; Rodentia; Sciuridae. The record is from RNAcentral.